This 70-nucleotide small nuclear RNA is filed under the name Castor canadensis (American beaver). Lineage: Eukaryota; Metazoa; Chordata; Mammalia; Rodentia; Castoridae. The record is from RNAcentral.
AUGCUCACUCUGACAGCACAUAGACUAAAAUGGGAAUGAUACAGAGAAGAUUAGCAUGGCCCCUGAGCAA